AAAAAAAACACCUUAGACACAACUGGGUAAUCCCUAAAUCCUGGACUGGUAGGUGUGCCUUGAGGACUGGGUUGGGAAACACUGCUCUGAGCAACUGUUUGCCUCUUGAGUUCAUUGCAAAUAAUCUAACUUAAACCAGGAAAUAACAGGACCUGACUUUCAGCUAGGUAAAGUGCUUUGGCGGACUUGAGUGUCCCUUUAAUGCUGUUUAUUUUAUUUACUAAACACCAAAUUUUAUUGAAAUAGAAAUUGAGUUGCAAACUCUAGGCACAGGUGCUGAUUUGGAAAAACAAAUCUCCUUUAAUUCAAUGAAUCUCUGCGGGGUGUGUUCAGCAACUCCAUGCACAGCAUAGAGCUGAUGAAGGUAGGUUCUGCAAAGAUUACUGAGCUGAAAAUACAGUAGAGCCUCUAGUGUUUAUCAGAGUGAUGGUUCCUAGAAAUGUUACUAUGAAACAAUGUAAACGCUGCCUGUUUUCUAAAAACGCAUCGGAAAUGUUAUAAAUGUCAGGGACUGACUGGACAGCAGAACAUUAAAGGAGCACUAUAGGGUCAGGAACACAAACAUGUAUUCCUGACCCUAUAGGGUUAAAACCACCAUCUAGCCACCCUGGUCCCCUCAUGCCUCUAAAAAUAUAGUAAAAUCUUACUUGAAUUCAAGCUUGCAGCUGCAUAGUUUGUCCCUGUUUCUUUUAGACCUACUCACUGCCAGCUGACAUCAGCAGAAGUGGUGGCCUGAUCCAAUCACAAUGCUUCCCCAUAGGAUUGGCUGAGACUGACAAGGAGGCAGAUCAGGGGCAGAGCCAGCAUGAUUCAAACAGACCUGGCCAAUCAGCAUCUCCUCCUAGAGAUGAAUUGAAUCAAUGAAUCUCUAGGAGGAAAGUUCAGUGUCUGCAUACAGAGGGAGUAGACACUGAAUGUUUGGAUGCAUUUUAGGCAGCCAUGACCCAGGAAGGAUCUCUAACAGCCAUCUGAGGAGUGGCCAGUGAAGUUAUCACUAGGCUGUAAUGUAAACACUGCAUUUUCUCUGAAAAUACAGUGUUUCUGGCAAAAAGCCUGAAGGUAAUGAUUCUACUCACCAGAACAAAUUCAAUAAGCUGCUGUAGUUCUGGUGACUAUAGUGUACAUUUAAGCUAGUGAUUUUGGUGACUACAGUGUUCUUUUAAUUUGUUACAAAAAAUAACUUUGUAUACGUUUAGUUUAUGAUCCGUGAAUGGUAGACAAAGUAACAUCAAUGUGCAACGCUGUAAAUCUAAAUCAGGAAAAAAGAAACGCUGUAUGUAUGAUGUAACAAUGUGUUAUAGCACAUUCUAAACACCUUUUAAAAUUAACUAGAUGUUUUGUAUAUCUGUAAAAAUGUUCUCAGAACUGUGAUCGUUUUCCCAUUAAAACUGUCACUUGUAGAGUACAUAAUAUUAGCUGUAUUUUAUUUAUAUAGUGAUAGAAUAGUUAAUGGGUAAUUCAGCCUCUGGAAAUCUUUGCUCCAUUAUUUCUAUGAUGUGCAUUUACUUACAGGAAAAACACUUUUUUUAUAAUGUGGACAUAAAAAUUAGUGAGUUAUUCUGGUUGCUUUUUUUAUAAUUAGUUGUUUUUGUACCCAGGAGACCCCAAGAAAGAACUAAAACCAUUAAAAACUGUUUGACUACUUUCAUUGAGGCGAUGCUAGGACACUCCUGGCAGCAUAACUACUACAGCAUGCUGUAGUAGUUAUGGUACUAUGAGUGUUCCCUUAAUCUAUAUAAUAAAGUUGUAAGUAAUGCACCUAAACAACUGAAACCAUGUAUUUAACUACAAUGUCCACUAGAUGGUGCAACAACACUUACUUUGCACUGCAAAAUGUUCUAAAUCACACAUCAGAUUUCUGUGUACAGAAAGAAAAAUCUAUAAAUAUAUAAGCACCACAUCAAAUGAUGGACCAGAAAUACAAGAAUACAAGUUUGUCUAUCACCAUAUGAGGCAGUGCUAGCUAAAUAAAUUGAUCAAUGUAGUAAAAAAUAGAAAAAUGCAAAGGUCCACUGUAUUAUGAGUAGACAAAAGAAAGUUAAACUGUAGAUUUGCAAAACUAUUGGAAAGACACAAACAUUACAGUCGAGCUCUCAAUGAGCAAUCAUUUGGUCCCAGAGAUUAUAUUUGUCUAACCUAUGAGUAACAUGCAGUUCCCUGUUUAAAUGUAUGCAGAACUGUAGCUUUUACAAGAUGUUUUUUAUAUAUCUGCAAUAAAAAAAAA
Pelobates cultripes (western spadefoot toad) is the source of this 2224-nucleotide non-coding RNA. NCBI's taxonomy places the organism in Eukaryota, Metazoa, Chordata, Amphibia, Anura, Pelobatidae. The record is from the annotation of a GenBank genome assembly.